CCUACGGGAGGCAGCAGUGGGGAAUCUUGCGCAAUGGGCGAAAGCCUGACGCAGCCAUGCCGCGUGAAUGAUGAAGGUCUUAGGAUUGUAAAAUUCUUUCACCGGGGACGAUAAUGACGGUACCCGGAGAAGAAGCCCCGGCUAACUUCGUGCCAGCAGCCGCGGUAAUACGAAGGGGGCUAGCGUUGCUCGGAAUUACUGGGCGUAAAGGGAGCGUAGGCGGAUAGUUUAGUCAGAGGUGAAAGCCCAGGGCUCAACCUUGGAAUUGCCUUUGAUACUGGCUAUCUUGAGUGUGGGAGAGGUAUGUGGAACUCCGAGUGUAGAGGUGAAAUUCGUAGAUAUUCGGAAGAACACCAGUGGCGAAGGCGACAUACUGGCCCAUUACUGACGCUGAGGCUCGAAAGCGUGGGGAGCAAACAGGAUUAGAUACCCUGGUAGUCCACGCUGUAAACGAUGAGUGCUAGUUGUCGGCAGGCAUGCCUGUCGGUGACGCAGCUAACGCAUUAAGCACUCCGCCUGGGGAGUACGGUCGCAAGAUUAAAACUUAAAUGAAUUGACGG
RNAcentral lists this ribosomal RNA (560 nucleotides) under uncultured bacterium. Its description in RNAcentral is "bacterial SSU rRNA". It matches the Rfam family "Bacterial small subunit ribosomal RNA", at positions 338 to 916 of the family's 1533-position model. The record is from RNAcentral.